Molecule: small nuclear RNA, 116 nt
Filed under: Nicotiana tabacum (common tobacco)
Lineage: Eukaryota; Viridiplantae; Streptophyta; Magnoliopsida; Solanales; Solanaceae
Description: U5 spliceosomal RNA
Rfam family: U5 spliceosomal RNA (bases 1-87)
About the family: U5 RNA is a component of both types of known spliceosome.
Source: Rfam by way of RNAcentral
AGCCAUGCAGUAAGCACAAAGCGAACUAUUCUUUCGCCCUUUACUAAAGAAUACCAUGUGCGUGCUGCAUUCAGUGGCAUACGCCUUGAGCAGAGCGAAUUCCAUAAAAAAUUAGU